This 512-nucleotide ribosomal RNA is filed under the name uncultured bacterium. Its description in RNAcentral is "partial 16S ribosomal RNA". It matches the Rfam family "Bacterial small subunit ribosomal RNA", at positions 28 to 507 of the family's 1533-position model. The record is from RNAcentral.
GAUGAACGCUGGCGGCGUGCCUAAUACAUGCAAGUCGAACGAAACUUCUUUAUCACCGAGUGCUUGCACUCACCGAUAAAGAGUUGAGUGGCGAACGGGUGAGUAACACGUGGGCAACCUGCCCAAAAGAGGGGGAUAACACUUGGAAACAGGUGCUAAUACCGCAUAACCAUAGUUACCGCAUGGUAACUAUGUAAAAGGUGGCUAUACUACCGCUUUUGGAUGGGCCCGCGGCGCAUUAGCUAGUUGGUAGGGUAAAGGCUUACCAAGGCAAUGAUGCGUAGCCGAAUUGAGAGGUUGAUCGGCCACAUUGGGACUGAGACACGGCCCAAACUCCUACGGGAGGCAGCAGUAGGGAAUCCUCCACAAUGGGCGAAAGCCUGAUGGAGCAACGCCGCGUGGGUGAAGAAGGUCUUCGGAUCGUAAAACCCUGUUGUUAGAGAAGAAAGUGCGUGAGAGUAACUGUUCACGUUUCGACGGUAUCUAACCAGAAAGCCACGGCUAACUACGUG